AGCGAACGCUGGCGGCAGGCCUAACACAUGCAAGUCGAACGAACCUUUCGGGGUUAGUGGCGGACGGGUGAGUAACACGUGGGAACGUGCCUUUAGGUUCGGAAUAACUCAGGGAAACUUGUGCUAAUACCGAAUGUGCCCUUCGGGGGAAAGAUUUAUCGCCUUUAGAGCGGCCCGCGUCUGAUUAGCUAGUUGGUUGAGGUAAUGGCUCACCAAGGCGACGAUCAGUAGCUGGUCUGAGAGGAUGAUCAGCCACAUUGGGACUGAGACACGGCCCAAACUCCUACGGGAGGCAGCAGUGGGGAAUCUUGCGCAAUGGGCGGAAGCCUGACGCAGCCAGGCCGCGUGAAUGAUGAAGGUCUUAGGAUUGUAAAAUUCUUUCACCGGGGACGAUAAUGACGGUACCCGGAGAAGAAGCCCCGGCUAACUUCGUG
Molecule: ribosomal RNA, 434 nt
Filed under: uncultured bacterium
Lineage: Bacteria
Description: partial 16S ribosomal RNA
Rfam family: Bacterial small subunit ribosomal RNA
Source: RNAcentral